CGCCUUUUCCCAAAUCACACUCUGAUUGGGGAGGAGAGAGCAUUCCAAUGGCACUGACCUACUUCAGAAGGAGAAAUGGAUAGAAGACAAAUUGUCCUUGCUUCCUUUCAUUUUGCUUAUCACUUCGCAUUGUAACUUGUUACG
Caenorhabditis elegans is the source of this 144-nucleotide non-coding RNA. The record is from Ensembl. NCBI's taxonomy places the organism in Eukaryota, Metazoa, Nematoda, Chromadorea, Rhabditida, Rhabditidae.